RNAcentral lists this ribosomal RNA (480 nucleotides) under uncultured Pelotomaculum sp. Its description in RNAcentral is "bacterial SSU rRNA". It matches the Rfam family "Bacterial small subunit ribosomal RNA", at positions 902 to 1382 of the family's 1533-position model. Lineage: Bacteria; Bacillati; Bacillota; Clostridia; Eubacteriales; Desulfotomaculaceae. The record is from RNAcentral.
CAAAUGAAUUGACGGGGCCGCACAAGCGGUGGAGCAUGUGGUUUAAUUCGACGCAACGCGAAGAACCUUACCAGGGCUUGACAUCCCCUGACCGCGUAUGAAAGUACGUUUUCACCCUCGGGUGACAGGGAGACAGGUGGUGCAUGGUUGUCGUCAGCUCGUGUCGUGAGAUGUUGGGUUAAGUCCCGCAACGAGCGCAACCCCUACGUUUAGUUGCUAACGCGUGAAGGCGAGCACUCUAGACGAACUGCCGUUGACAAAACGGAGGAAGGUGGGAUGACGUCAAAUCAUCAUGCCCCUUAUGUUCUGGGCUACACACGUGCUACAAUGGCCGGUACAGACGGACGCAAAGCCGCGAGGUGGAGCAAAUCCUAAAAAGCCGGUCUCAGUUCGGAUUGCAGGCUGCAAUUCGCCUGCAUGAAGUCGGAAUCGCUAGUAAUCGCAGGUCAGCAUACUGCGGUGAAUACGUUCCCGGGCCUU